RNAcentral lists this transfer RNA (76 nucleotides) under Citrobacter freundii. RNAcentral's name for it is "tRNA-Ile". It matches the Rfam family "tRNA". Rfam says of the family: Transfer RNA (tRNA) molecules are approximately 80 nucleotides in length. Their secondary structure includes four short double-helical elements and three loops (D, anti-codon, and T loops). Lineage: Bacteria; Pseudomonadati; Pseudomonadota; Gammaproteobacteria; Enterobacterales; Enterobacteriaceae. RNAcentral also lists the same sequence under 6 other names. The record is from RNAcentral.
GGCCCCUUAGCUCAGUGGUUAGAGCAGGCGACUCAUAAUCGCUUGGUCGCUGGUUCAAGUCCAGCAGAGGCCACCA